RNAcentral lists this ribosomal RNA (253 nucleotides) under uncultured bacterium. Its description in RNAcentral is "partial 16S ribosomal RNA". It matches the Rfam family "Bacterial small subunit ribosomal RNA", at positions 524 to 776 of the family's 1533-position model. The record is from RNAcentral.
UACGACGGGGGCAAGCGUUGUUCGGAUUUACUGGGCGUAAAGGGCGCGUAGGCGGAUCUGCAAGUCAGAGGUGAAAGCCCUGGGCUCAACCCGGGAAUGGCCUUUGAGACUGCAAGUCUUGAGUGCGAGAGAGGGUGGCGGAAUACCCAGUGUAGAGGUGAAAUUCGUAGAGAUUGGGGAGAACACCGGUGGCGAAGGCGGCCACCUGGCUCGCAACUGACGAUGAGGCGCGAAAGCGUGGGGAGCAAACAGG